CGAACGCUGGCGGCGUGCCUAAUACAUGCAAGUCGAGCGGACCGAGGAGCUUGCUCCCAAAGGUUAGCGGCGGACGGGUGAGUAACACGUGGGCAAUCUGCCUGUCAGACUGGAAUAACAUCCGGAAACGGGUGCUAAUGCCGGACAGGCAACCUAGGGGGCAUCCUUAGGUUGGGAAAGCUGCCAUGGCAGUGCUGAGCGAUGAGCCCGCGGCGCAUUAGCUAGUUGGUGAGGUAACGGCCCACCAAGGCGACGAUGCGUAGCCGACCUGAGAGGGUGACCGGCCACACUGGGACUGAGACACGGCCCAGACUCCUACGGGAGGCAGCAGUAGGGAAUCUUCCGCAAUGGGCGCAAGCCUGACGGAGCAACGCCGCGUGAGCGAAGAAGGCCUUCGGGUUGUAAAGCUCAGUCACUCGGGAAGAGCGGACGAGGGAGUGGAAAGCCCUCGUCGAGACGGUACCGAGAGAGGAAGCCCCGGCUAACUACGUG
This 492-nucleotide ribosomal RNA is filed under the name uncultured bacterium. Its description in RNAcentral is "bacterial SSU rRNA". It matches the Rfam family "Bacterial small subunit ribosomal RNA", at positions 30 to 507 of the family's 1533-position model. The record is from RNAcentral.